This 305-nucleotide ribosomal RNA is filed under the name uncultured bacterium. RNAcentral's name for it is "bacterial SSU rRNA". It matches the Rfam family "Bacterial small subunit ribosomal RNA", at positions 333 to 635 of the family's 1533-position model. The record is from RNAcentral.
AUAAACCUACGGGAGGCAGCAGUGAGGAAUAUUGGUCAAUGGCCGAGAGGCCGAACCAGCCAAGUCGCGUGAGGGAAGACGGCCCUACGGGUUGUAAACCUCUUUUGUCGGGGAGCAAAGCGAACCACGUGUGGUUCAUUGAGAGUACCCGAAGAAAAAGCAUCGGCUAACUCCGUGCCAGCAGCCGCGGUAAUACGGAGGAUGCGAGCGUUAUCCGGAUUUAUUGGGUGUAAAGGGUGCGUAGACGGGAAAUUAAGUUAGUUGUGAAAUCCCUCGGCUUAACUGAGGAACUGCAACUAAAACUG